CUACGGGUCGCACCAGUGAGGAAUAUUGGUCAAUGGGCGUAAGCCUGAACCAGCCAUCCCGCGUGCAGGAAGACGGCGCUAUGCGUUGUAAACUGCUUUUCCAGGGAAAGAAAACCCCCGACGUGUCGGGGCUUGCCGGUACCCUGGGAAUAAGCAUCGGCUAACUCCGUGCCAGCAGCCGCGGUAAUACGGAGGAUGCAAGCGUUAUCCGGAUUUAUUGGGUUUAAAGGGUGCGUAGGCGGAUUAAUAAGUCAGUGGUGAAAACCUUCAGCUUAACUGGAGACUUGCCAUUGAUACUGUUAGUCUUGAGUACGGUCAAGGUAGGCGGAAUGUGUAAUGUAGCGGUGAAAUGCUUAGAUAUUACACAGAACACCGAUUGCGAAGGCAGCUUACUGGGCCAUUACUGACGCUGAGGCACGAAAGCGUGGGGAGCGAACAGGAUUAGAUACCCGCGUAGUC
This 459-nucleotide ribosomal RNA is filed under the name uncultured bacterium. Its description in RNAcentral is "partial 16S ribosomal RNA". It matches the Rfam family "Bacterial small subunit ribosomal RNA", at positions 339 to 795 of the family's 1533-position model. The record is from RNAcentral.